CAUACUGACGUAGUUAAACAGUAUUGGCUGAACUCUUAUGUAAGAUGUUGAGUUAAUCCUUAUUAUAAGAAAUUGUGUCAAAGGUGAGAUUUUCUGAAAGUCUAGAGCAGGGGUCACAAACUCAAAGGCCUUUAGGAACCGGAAAGUGAAGUGUAGCAAGGCCAGGCCAAAUUCAGAAGAGGUGACUGAAAUGAUGCUGCCCGAUCAAAAAAUCGUUUGGUCUUCAGAAUUGAGCUCAUAGGAUCUUUUAACACGACUUGCUGUCUCCUUGUCAUCUUCUAGAGGCCAGGUGAUCUUCAAGAAACUCUGGGAAAUGUCGGGAAGGAACUUUGUAUUUACACCA
Molecule: long non-coding RNA, 343 nt
Filed under: Homo sapiens (human)
Lineage: Eukaryota; Metazoa; Chordata; Mammalia; Primates; Hominidae
Description: HSALNT0329292
Source: RNAcentral